GCAAUCAGCUGGCUUCUGCCUAUUAUGGUC
Molecule: non-coding RNA, 30 nt
Filed under: Homo sapiens (human)
Lineage: Eukaryota; Metazoa; Chordata; Mammalia; Primates; Hominidae
Source: RNAcentral